Molecule: transfer RNA, 85 nt
Filed under: Candidatus Woesearchaeota archaeon
Lineage: Archaea; Nanobdellati; Candidatus Woesearchaeota
Description: tRNA-Ser
Rfam family: tRNA
About the family: Transfer RNA (tRNA) molecules are approximately 80 nucleotides in length. Their secondary structure includes four short double-helical elements and three loops (D, anti-codon, and T loops). Further hydrogen bonds mediate the characteristic L-shaped molecular structure. tRNAs have two regions of fundamental functional importance: the anti-codon, which is responsible for specific mRNA codon recognition, and the 3' end, to which the tRNAs corresponding amino acid is attached (by aminoacyl-tRNA synthetases). tRNAs cope with the degeneracy of the genetic code in two manners: having more than one tRNA (with a specific anti-codon) for a particular amino acid; and 'wobble' base-pairing, i.e. permitting non-standard base-pairing at the 3rd anti-codon position.
Source: RNAcentral
GCCGUGGUGGCACAAUCUGGCUACUGCGCUGGCCUUGAGAGCCAGUGUCCUUCGGGACUUCCCGGUUCAAAUCCGGGCCACGGCG